UUAAUAACUCCGCCUAUAUUGUUUCAGUAUAGCCGGUCCCAAGCCCGGAUAAAGGAGGAGGGUAAA
This 66-nucleotide non-coding RNA is filed under the name Dichanthelium oligosanthes. The record is from RNAcentral. Lineage: Eukaryota; Viridiplantae; Streptophyta; Magnoliopsida; Poales; Poaceae.